RNAcentral lists this long non-coding RNA (759 nucleotides) under Ictidomys tridecemlineatus (thirteen-lined ground squirrel). Its description in RNAcentral is "lncRNA (ENSSTOG00000032307.1)". The record is from RNAcentral. Lineage: Eukaryota; Metazoa; Chordata; Mammalia; Rodentia; Sciuridae.
AUCCCUGCAGGCAAGUGGCAUGAUGACACAGACAGACACAACCCAUCCCUAUCGGUGUGCCUUAAGACAGAAGAUCACACCCAGGCAGAGCGUGGACCCUGCCCAGAGUUGAAGCCUGCGGACCUCCAGCCCCCAUCUCAAUGGGCUCAGCAAGGAGCCUUCAGAAUGUGUGAAAGGGACCCCUGGAGAAGUUGGGGACAGGGUAGGACAAGGCAGUUCCCCACCGGGCCAACCAGAUGGCCCCACAAGAUCCGUGAAAGACAGUUUCAGAGCCCUGACUGCUCACACCCAACAAGGGCAAAGGACCCACAGAGGUGCCCGCACAGUGGGCUGACAGGCACCGAGACAGAGGCAAUCGGCUAGAAGAGGCCAUGCCCUGAAGCUGCAGACAGGGAGGAGGUCAAGUCAGAGAGGGCACCGGAGAUGGCAAGCCAGGGCACAGGAGGGCUCCGCUGUCUGCGCCCAACUCUCCUGAGACCGAGGAGGCAGCUGCUAGAACCACCCCUCAACAGCGGAGGCCGCCGGGCACGAUCCGCGCACUCGGGCGGGGAGCGAGGCACCCACACCUACAGGCGGAGAGCAAGUCGGGCGCCCGGCGAGAGUGGCGAGGAACAGGAACCCGGCCAGGCUCCGGGAGCCCUCAGAGCGCCUCCUCCGGAGAUAACUUCCCCAGACCCCAAGGGGGCAGUCCUCAGACUCGGACAGGGCAGCGCACGACCCCCGAGCCCGCCCGGGGAGAGAGGGCUGGGGGCGGACUGG